UUAAUAUGUAGGUAUUCCCAUUCUUCAAUUCAACAAAUCAUGACACAGCCCUUUCUGGUUAAUAUGUAGGUAUUCCCAUUCUUCAAUUCAACAAAUCAUGGCACAGCCCUUUCUGGUUAAUAUGUAGGUAUUCCCAUUCUUCAAUUCAACAAAUCAUUAGACAGCCCUUUCUGGUUAAUAUGUAGGUAUUCCCACUCUUCAAUUCAACAGUUGCUUUUAUUUGCUGUCAAAAUACUCAUAUCAAAAGAUGAAAAAUGCGUCACAUUGAUUCUUCAGU
Oncorhynchus tshawytscha (Chinook salmon) is the source of this 277-nucleotide long non-coding RNA. NCBI's taxonomy places the organism in Eukaryota, Metazoa, Chordata, Actinopteri, Salmoniformes, Salmonidae. The record is from Ensembl.